GAUGAACGCUGGCGGCGUGCUUAACACAUGCAAGUCGAACGAACCUUCGGGUUAGUGGCGGACGGGUGAGUAACGCGUGAGAAUCUGCCCUCAGGAGGGGGAUAACGGUUGGAAACGACCGCUAAUACCCCAUAUGCCUACUGGUGAAAUGAAUUUCGCCUGAGGAUGAGCUCGCGUCUGAUUAGCUUGUUGGUGAGGUAAUGGCUUACCAAGGCUUCGAUCAGUAGCUGGUCUGAGAGGAUGAUCAGCCACACUGGGACUGAGACACGGCCCAGACUCCUACGGGAGGCAGCAGUGGGGAAUUUUCCGCAAUGGGCGAAAGCCUGACGGAGCAACGCCGCGUGAGGGACGAAGGCCUCUGGGCUGUAAACCUCUUUUCUCAAGGAAGAAGAUAUGACGGUACUUGAGGAAUAAGCCACGGCUAAUUCCGUGCCAGCAGCCGCGGUAAUACGGGAGUGGCAAGCGUUAUCCGGAAUUAUUGGGCGUAAAGCGUCCGCAGGCGGCUUUUCAAGUCUGCUGUUAAAGCGUGGAGCUUAACUCCAUCAUGGCAGUGGAAACUGAAAGGCUUGAGUAUGGUAGGGGCAGAGGGAAUUCCCGGUGUAGCGGUGAAAAUGCGUAGAUACCGGGAAGAACACCAGUGGCGAAGGCGCUCUGCUGGGCCAUUACUGACGCUCAUGGACGAAAGCCAGGGGAGCGAAAGGGAUUAGAUACCCCUGUAGUCCUGGCCGUAAACGAUGAACACUAGGUGUCGGGGGAAUCGACCCCUUCGGUGUCGUAGCUAACGCGUUAAGUGUUCCGCCUGGGGAGUACGCACGCAAGUGUGAAACUCAAAGGAAUUGACGGGGGCCCGCACAAGCGGUGGAGUAUGUGGUUUAAUUCGACGCAACGCGCAGAACCUUACCCAGCCUUGACAUCCCUGGACAACCAUAGAGAUAUGGCUUUCUCUCGCAAGAGAGACCGGGUGACAGGUGCUGCAUGGCUGUCGUCAGCUCGUGUCGUGAGAUGUUCGGUUAAGUCCGGUAACGAGCGCAACCCCUGUCCUUAGUUGCCAUCAUUCAGUUGGGCACUCUAAGGAGACUCCCGGUGUUAAACCGGCGGAAGAUGGGGAUGACGUCAAGUCCUCAUGGCCCUUACGGCUGGGGCUACACACGUACUACAAUGGCAACUACAAAGAGCAGCAAAGUCGCGAGGCCUAGCAAAUCUCAAAAAAGUUGCCUCAGUUCGGAUUGGAGUCUGCAACUCGACUCCAUGAAGUUGGAAUCGCUAGUAAUCGAGGAUCAGCAUGCCACGGUGAAUACGUUCCCGGGCCUU
Molecule: ribosomal RNA, 1311 nt
Filed under: uncultured bacterium
Lineage: Bacteria
Description: partial 16S ribosomal RNA
Rfam family: Bacterial small subunit ribosomal RNA
Source: RNAcentral